This 478-nucleotide ribosomal RNA is filed under the name uncultured bacterium. RNAcentral describes it as "partial 16S ribosomal RNA". It matches the Rfam family "Bacterial small subunit ribosomal RNA", at positions 28 to 507 of the family's 1533-position model. The record is from RNAcentral.
GAUGAACGCUGGCGGCGUGCCUAACACAUGCAAGUCGAACGGAGUCCAGCCUUUAAGACCUUCGGGUCAAAGAGGGGAAGACUGAGUGGCGGACGGGUGAGUAACACGUGGGCAACCUGGCUCAUAGAGGGGGAUAACAGAGAGAAAUUUCUGCUAAUACCGCAUAAGCACACACUGCCGCAUGGCAGAGGGUGAAAAGAGAAUCGCUAUGAGAUGGACCCGCGUCUGAUUAGCCAGUUGGCAGGGUAAGAGCCUACCAAAGCGACGAUCAGUAGCCGAUCUGGGAGGAUGAACGGCCACAUUGGGACUGAGACACGGCCCAAACUCCUACGGGAGGCAGCAGUGGGGGAUAUUGCAAAAGGGGGGGAACCCUGAUGCAGCGACGCCGCGUGAGUGAAGAAGUAUUUCGGUAUGUAAAGCUCUAUCAGCAGGGAAGAUAAUGACAGUACCUGAAUAAGAAGCCCCGGCUAACUACGUG